This 20-nucleotide small nuclear RNA is filed under the name Arabidopsis thaliana (thale cress). RNAcentral's name for it is "snRNA_00992". The record is from RNAcentral. Lineage: Eukaryota; Viridiplantae; Streptophyta; Magnoliopsida; Brassicales; Brassicaceae.
UGUCCUAAGAUGAGCUCAAC